GGCCUGGUGGCGGAAUUGGCAGACGCUGGGGAUUUAAAAUCCCCUGCCCUUCGGGGCAUGCGGGUUCGACUCCCGCCCGGGCCA
RNAcentral lists this transfer RNA (84 nucleotides) under Planctomycetota bacterium. Its description in RNAcentral is "tRNA-Leu". It matches the Rfam family "tRNA". Rfam says of the family: Transfer RNA (tRNA) molecules are approximately 80 nucleotides in length. Lineage: Bacteria; Pseudomonadati; Planctomycetota. The record is from RNAcentral.